Morus notabilis is the source of this 650-nucleotide long non-coding RNA. RefSeq lists it as uncharacterized. The record is from RefSeq and is a predicted model, not a curated record. The transcript has 3 exons. Lineage: Eukaryota; Viridiplantae; Streptophyta; Magnoliopsida; Rosales; Moraceae.
AGAGAAGGGCCAUGUGAAACCGGCGACAUAUUUAGAUUCGCAUGAGAAGUUUCUAAUCGGUGUUGCUACAAAAGGAGUGGUCAAGCUGUUCAAUGCUGUUAACAAGGCACAACAUGCUCAGAAAGGAUUGAAUCCUUCGAGUUUUAAAGACAAAAAAGGUUCGGGUAUUUACUGUCUGCAGUGAUAAUUUGAGUGGCCUUCAUUCUUCCUUUACUUUUCCUUGUUGAAGUUUGUUCUAUAAAAUACAAAUGUGAACGUAUAGUACCAUUAGGUUUUAGGUAAGGAAUUGAUAGUUAAUGUGUCAUUUUGAAUUGAAUAUGGUUCUCUCUCUAGUAAUAGUCUUAUAGCACCUCUGGCCCUGAUGAAUUUCGGUGGUUUAUUUAAAUUACAUUUCCUGCUAAGCCUGUAAGGCAUCUAAUUUUUUGGCCAUCUAUAUCGGUAUUCUAUGUCUUUUCUUAUCUAUUAGUGUAUGAAAAGAAGGAUAUUACCGUGUUUUCAGCAACAUUUCAAUCAGGCAGUUACAAGCUUUAAAUGCUUAUUUGGUUUCUCAUAGACAGGCUCUCAUUCUUGAUUGUCUAUUUAAACUUAAUCCAACUGACUAUUAACAAUUCCUUUUACCAUCACCAUUCAUUAUGAUCCGGGCUAGGGGG